UACGAGUGCCCCAAGCGUUAUCCGGAAUUAUUGGGCGUAAAGGGUGCGUAGGUGGUCCUGUCCCAACCUAGUUGGGAUUCACUAGUCUUUCGUUAAAACUCCCGGCUUAACCGGGAAUAUGCGAGGGAAACGGCGGGACUAGAGAAUGCAAGAGGCUUGUAGAACUCAUGGUGUAGGGGUGAAAUCCGUUGAUAUCAUGGGGAAUACCAAAUGCGAAGGCAGCAAGCUGGUGCAUAUCUGACACUGAGGCACGAAAGCGUGGGUUUCGAACGGG
This 274-nucleotide ribosomal RNA is filed under the name uncultured bacterium. RNAcentral describes it as "partial 16S ribosomal RNA". It matches the Rfam family "Bacterial small subunit ribosomal RNA", at positions 524 to 776 of the family's 1533-position model. The record is from RNAcentral.